Long non-coding RNA from Oncorhynchus keta (chum salmon), 290 nucleotides. RefSeq lists it as uncharacterized. NCBI's taxonomy places the organism in Eukaryota, Metazoa, Chordata, Actinopteri, Salmoniformes, Salmonidae. The transcript is spliced from 3 exons. The record is from RefSeq and is a predicted model, not a curated record.
GUUCCACAGGGAUGCUGGCCCCAUGUUGACUCUACAAGGUGUUGAAAGUGUUCCACAGGGAUGCUGGCCCAUGUUGACUCUACAAGGUGUUGAAAGUGUUCCACAGGGAUGCUGGCCCAUGUUGACUCUACAAGGUGUUGAAAGUGUUCCACAGGGAUGCUGGCCCAUGUUGACUCUACAAGGUGUUGAAAGUGUUCCACAGGGAUGCUGGCCCAUGUUGACUCUACAAGGUGUUGAAAGUGUUCCACAGGGAUGCUGGCCCAUGUUGACUCUACAACGUGUUGAAAGUG